This 139-nucleotide ribosomal RNA is filed under the name uncultured bacterium. Its description in RNAcentral is "partial 16S ribosomal RNA". It matches the Rfam family "Bacterial small subunit ribosomal RNA", at positions 355 to 509 of the family's 1533-position model. The record is from RNAcentral.
UGGGGAAUAUUGGGCAAUGGGCGCAAGCCUGACCCAGCAACGCCGCGUGAAGGAAGAAGGCUUUCGGAUUGUAAACUUCUUUUGACAGGGAAGAGCAGAAGACGGUACCUGUCGAAUAAGCCACGGCUAACUACGUGCC